Long non-coding RNA from Empidonax traillii (willow flycatcher), 562 nucleotides. RefSeq lists it as uncharacterized. The record is from RefSeq and is a predicted model, not a curated record. Lineage: Eukaryota; Metazoa; Chordata; Aves; Passeriformes; Tyrannidae. The transcript is spliced from 3 exons.
UCCCCGAGCCGUGUUUUGUUUAGGCCCCUCAGGCCAACGGCGGGAAGCGCGCUUGGUGUUUUCGAACAGCUCCACGAGCAGUUGUGCUUCUGCAAUCAAGGCAGCAGACAGAACGGAGACAGGAAAAGGUGAUGCCUCAGCUGAAGUGAACAACUCAGGAAUCUGCCAAGCCUGUGUUUUAAUGAUUUAACAGAUGGAGUUGGCACAUGUGAACCUGGAAGAUGCAUCUGUCUGAUUUUUCCAGUCUGAGGAUUUUUUAACUGCAUUAAUGGCACAGACAAUGGUAAAAUAUCACCUCCCCAGGCUGCUCUGCUCUCCUAACACAUAAUGUCUCUUAAGGAAAAAAAAAAGUGAUAGGAGACUGGGGUGAGCAAAAGGCCAGAGAAAUGAGGAUUUGAAAAGUUUAAUAUUUUCUGUCCUCACCGCAUUAAGCUUUUAAGCCUUUCACUGUGAAUUUCAUGUGUGUGGGGGGGGUGGAAACAGAAAUUCUACCCAGACAACGUUAUCUGUGAUCUCAGGGUUCUGUUAAUUAAUUAAUGGCUCCAAAUAAACACCCUUUAAA